RNAcentral lists this ribosomal RNA (449 nucleotides) under uncultured organism. RNAcentral describes it as "partial 16S ribosomal RNA". It matches the Rfam family "Bacterial small subunit ribosomal RNA", at positions 332 to 797 of the family's 1533-position model. The record is from RNAcentral.
UACACUCCUGCGGGAGGCAGCAGUGGGGAAUAUUGGACAAUGGGCGCAAGCCUGAUCCAGCCAUGCCGCGUGAGUGAUGAAGGCCCUAGGGUUGUAAAGCUCUUUCACCGGUGAAGAUAAUGACGGUAACCGGAGAAGAAGCCCCGGCUAACUUCGUGCCAGCAGCCGCGGUAAUACGAAGGGGGCUAGCGUUGUUCGGAUUUACUGGGCGUAAAGCGCACGUAGGCGGACUAUUAAGUCAGGGGUGAAAUCCCGGGGCUCAACCCCGGAACUGCCUUUGAUACUGGUAGUCUUGAGUUCGAGAGAGGUGAGUGGAAUUCCGGGUGUAGAGGUGAAAUUCGUAGAUAUUCGGAGGAACACCAGUGGCGAAGGCGGCUCACUGGCUCGAUACUGACGCUGAGGUGCGAAAGCGUGGGGAGCAAACAGGAUUAGAAACCCUAGUAGUCCCA